GAAAAUGGAAUUUUGUGGCACGUGAUUGAAGCGAAGCCUCGCUAUAGGACGGGCGCGAGCUUGACGGAGCUGGCUUGAUUAGUUGUCCCAGGGAUGGUUGGGAGGGGAGGCGGGUAGCGCGAGCCCGGGGACUGCACUUGCGCAGUGUUUCUGGCUCUCCGGGCAGUGAGUGAAUGCUGGUGUCUCUGGAGCUUUCUCUAGCAAGAUGAAGCAAGUGUUUAUUCUAUUAGAAAAAUCUUUGCUUGGUGCUCCUAUACAGUUCAAAUGGCAGAAAGCACAAGGAAAUUACAUUGCAGUUACAGGAGCUGAUCAUGCAGUAAAAAUCUUUGAUCGCCAUGGUCUAAAGAAAAAUGAAAUUAGUCUUCAAGGCCCCUGUGUUGCUAUGGAUUGGGAUGUAGAUGGAGAUACAUUAGCAAUAAUUGCUGAAAAAUCUACCUGCAUCUAUUUGUGGGAUGGCAAUACAAAUAAGACUAGUCAAUUGGAUAGUGGCAUGAGGGAUCAGAUGUCUUUCCUGCUUUGGUCAAAAGUUGGAGCCUUACUUGCUAUUGGAACAGUUAAAGGAAACUUAUUUAUAUAUAACCAUCAGACUUCUCGCAAAAUUCCUAUACUGGGUAAGCACACUAAACGAAUAACAUGUGGAUGUUGGAGUUCUGAAAACUUACUGGCACUAGGUAGUGAAGAUAAAAUUAUAACAGUUAGCAAUCAGGAAGGUGAUACAAUAAAACAGGUUCUUUUGAAAACAGAGCUUAGUGAUAUGCAGUUUUCAAUGAUGAGGAGUGAAAACAGAGCAAUAACAACUGAAAAUACUAUAAGUGUGGUGGUUGGCAAGAAGAAUUUGUUUCUGUUUAAUGUGAAUUGUCCAGAAAAUUCAAUUGAUCUGGGAUUCCAGCAGCACUAUGGCAAUGUUGUUUGUUAUCAUUGGUUUGGUGAUGGCUACAUCAUGAUUGGUUUUUCACAUGGGUAUGUUGUGGUUAUUUCAACACAUUUUCAAGAAAUUGGUCAAGAAACCUUUCAAAUUCGUGACCAUAAAGAUAACCUAACCAACAUUGCAAUAUCUCAGUCAUUAAAUAAAGCUGCAUCAUGUGGAGACAGCUGUAUUAAAAUCCAUGAUUUAUCAGAAUUGAAAGAAAUGUAUGCCAUAAUAAAUCUGGAUGAUGAAAAUAAAGGUUUAGGUUGUAUGUCUUGGACAGAUGAUGGACAAUUGUUGGCAGUGGCUACACAACGAGGCUCGCUCCAUGUUUUCCUGACAAAACUUCCAGUGCUUGGAGACACUUUUAGUACUCGGAUUGCUUACCUUACCUCUCUCCUUGAAGUAACUGUAACCAACCCUGUUGAAGGAGAGCUACCAGUCACUGUUUCUGUUGAAGUGGAACCUACCUUUAUUGCAGUAGGCCUUUUUCAUUUGGCUGUUGGGAUGAAUAACAGAGCCUGGUUUUAUGCACUAGGAGACACAGGUGUCAAAAAACUGAAAGAUAUGGAAUAUCUGGGGACCGUUGUUAGUAUGAGUCUUAAUUCUGACUAUGCUGCUGUGCUCUUUGAGGGAAAAGUUCAGUUACACAUGAUAGAAAGUGAAAUUUUGGAUGGUCAAGAAGAAAGAGAAACUCGUCUUUUCCCAGCAACAGUUGAUGAAUACAGAAUUUUGUGCCACACGUUAACUGGUGAUUUUCUGAUCUAUGGUACUGAUGCUGGUGUGAUUCAUUAUUUUUACAUUGAAGACUGGCAACAUGUGAAUGAAUAUCGGCAUACUGUCAGUGUUAGAAGGAUUUUUCCUGAUCCAAAUGGGACCAGGUUGGCUUUCAUUGAUGAUAAAAGCAGUGGCUUUCUGUAUUGCCCUGUAAUUGACACAGUGUAUGAAAUUCCAAAUUUUCCACCAACCAUCAAAUGCAUUCUUUGGGAAAAUUGGUCAAUGGAUAAAGGUGUAUUUGUGGCUUAUGAUGAUGAUAAAGCGUAUACUUAUGUCUUUCACAAGGAUACUAUAGAAGGGUCCAAGGUAAUCUUGGCAGGAGGCACAAAGGUUCCCUUUUCCCAUAAGCCUUUGCUUUUGUAUAAUGGAGAAUUAACCUGCCAGACACAGAGUGGAAAAAUAAACAAUAUUUUCCUUAGCACCCAUGGCUUUCUUAACAAUUGUACAGACUCAAAAAGUAGUGAGCUGAGACAUAUACUGAUGCAAACUUUAAUGCUGAAAAGGAGUAUACUCAGUUUUGCUGGAUUUUCUGAAGCAUGGGAAGUAUGCAAACUUCUGAAUGAAACAUCUGCUUGGAAUGAAUUGGGCAGUGCCUGUCUGCAUCACAUGGAAGUGGAAUUUGCCACACGUGUGUAUCGUACAAUUAGGAAUGUUGGGAUGGUGAUGUCAUUGGAACAAAUAAAAGGAAUAGAAGAUCACAAUUUGUUAGCAGGCCAUCUUGCCAUGUUUACUAAUGAUUUCAAUUUGGCGCAAGAUCUGUAUCUGGCAUCCAGUUGUCCUGCUGCAGCACUUGAAAUGAGGAGAGAUUUGCAGCAUUGGGACAGUGCACUUCAACUAGCCAAAUGUUUGGCCCCAGACCAGAUUUCAUUCUUAUCAAAGGAGUAUGCUAUUCAGUUGGAAUUUACAGGUGAUUAUGUAAAUGCCUUGGCUCACUAUGAGAAAGGAAUCACUGGAAACAAUAAGUAUCAAGAACAUGAUGAAGCCUGUCAAGCUGGAGUAGCUCAAAUGUCCAUUCGCAUGGGAGAUAUUCGUCGAGGGGUUAAUCAAGCCAUUAAACAUCCUAGCAGACUGCUGAAAAAGGACUGUGGAGCAAUUCUAGAGAGCAUGAAGCAAUUUUCAGAAGCAGCUCAGUUAUAUGAAAAAGGACAAUAUUAUGAUAAAGCAGCAUCUGUGUAUAUCCGAUGUAAAAACUGGGCAAAAGUUGGUGAGUUACUUCCGCAUGUGUCUUCUCCAAAGGUUCAUCUACAGUAUGCCAAAUCUAAGGAAGCAGAUGGAAGAUAUAAAGAAGCUGUUGUGGCUUAUAAAAAUGCCAAGCAAUGGGAUAAUGUAAUACGUAUAUAUUUGGACCACCUUGGUAAUCCUGAAAAAGCUGUUAGUGUUGUCAGAGAAACCCAGUCUCUUGAAGGAGCCAAAAUGGUAGCCAGAUUCUUCCUCCAGCUGGGUGACUAUGGUUCUGCUAUACAAUUUCUGGUUAUGUCCAAGUGCAAUAAUGAAGCUUUCACACUGGCCCAGCAGCAUAAUCAGAUGGAGCUUUAUGCUGAUAUUAUUGGUUCUGAGGACACCACUAAUGAAGACUAUCAGAGCAUUGCUUUAUAUUUUGAAGGAGAAAAGAAACAUUUUUCAGCAGGAAAAUUCUUUUUGCUGUGUGGCCAGUAUGCACGGGCUUUAAAGCAUUUCCUGAAAUGUUCAAACACAGAGGAUAACACGGCCAUAGAAAUGGCAAUUGAUACCGUUGGACAGGCAAAUGAUGAAUCACUGACCAAUCAACUCAUAGAUCAUCUCAUGGGUGAAAGUGAUGGCAUGCCCAAGGAUGCUAAAUAUCUCUUCCGUCUGUACAUGGCACUGAAACAAUACAGAGAAGCUGCCCAGACUGCCAUAAUAAUUGCCAGAGAGGAGCAAUCUGCUGGAAAUUAUCGAAAUGCCCAUGAUGUUCUCUUCAGUAUGUAUGCAGAACUGAGAAACCAGAAAAUUAAAAUCCCAUCUGAGAUGGCCACAAACCUUAUGAUUCUGCACAGCUAUAUUUUAGUGAAGAUUCAUGUUAAACGUGGAGAUCACUUAAAGGGAGCACGUAUGCUUAUUCGUGUCUCCAAUAACAUCAGCAAAUUCCCAUCACAUAUUGUGCCAAUUCUGACUUCAACAGUAAUUGAAUGUCAUCGAGCAGGUUUGAAAAAUUCAGCUUUCAGUUUUGCAGCCAUGUUGAUGAGGCCUGAAUAUCGCAAUAAAAUAGAUAUAAAAUAUAGAAAAAAGAUAGAAGCAAUGGUCAGGAGACCAGAUACAUCAGAGACAGAAGAGACAACAACACCAUGCCCAUUUUGUGAAUUCCUUCUCCCUGAGUGUGAACUACUGUGUCCAGGAUGUAAAAAUAAUCUCCCAUACUGCAUUGUAACUGGUAGACAUAUGAUAAAGGAUGAUUGGACUGUGUGCCCUUACUGUGACUUUCCUGCUUUAUAUUCAGAGAUGAGAAUAAUGCUGCAUACAGAAGGUACUUGUCCUAUGUGUUCAGAAACAUUGGACACUGCUCAUAUUAAAAAAAUUGCUGACUGUACACUCUAUCUCAAGCCAGAAGCAGGGGAUCAUUAAUGGUUUCAGGUGAUUAUUUCUUGCUACUGUAAGUGAUCAGGCAAGAGCUGGAUGACUCCUCAAGGAUCUGGUAGAAGGUAUUCAUGCAUCAAGGAGUUUAGACUAAAUGGUCACUAAAAAUCCCUUCCAGUAUUAAUUCAAUGACAUAAAAAAGUACAAGAACUUCACAAGACCAUUUAAUCCAGCUAACUGACAUUAAGGCAACCUUCUUAAUUGGAUAUGUUCUAAAAGAGAAAAUGAAGUUAAUUAAUAAUGACUUUUUAUUUUUUCAAAGUUAAUCUGUUGUUAAUUGCUGAAUAACAUUUGUGUGGCAUUUUAUGAUUUAUUUAUAGAUGAAGAAUGCUUUUGAUGAAAUACUUUGUUAUUGUUUACCUAAAAUACCUUAUAAUUUGAUAGGCAUAUGAUUUGUUAUGAAUGUGUAAUAUUUUCUUAUGUUUAUU
Molecule: non-coding RNA, 4704 nt
Organism: Phascolarctos cinereus (koala)
Lineage: Eukaryota; Metazoa; Chordata; Mammalia; Diprotodontia; Phascolarctidae
Source: RefSeq, a predicted model, not a curated record